AGCUCUGUAAGCGUAUACCAAAGUUGUUGCAGUUAAAACGCUCGUAGUCGGAUUUUGGCGUGGUGCUACUGAGGUCCCUGAUUGGGCUCCGAGGUUAGUCCCGCCUUUGUGGAUGAGGGCGUGGUGGUGCUUAACUGUAUUGCCGCGUUUUCGCCACUGUUUACUGUGAAAAAAUUAGAGUGUUCAAAGCGAGCGAUUGCCAUGAAUACAUUAGCAUGGAAUAAUAGAAUAGGACCUGAUCCUGUUUUGUUGGUUUGUCGGUAUUAGGUAAUGAUUAAGAGGGACGGUCGGGGGCAUUUGUAUUCCAGGGUUAGAGGUGAAAUUCUUGGAUCCUUGGAAGACAAACAGCUGCGAAAGCGUCUGCCAAGGACGUUUUCAUUGAUCAAGAACGAAAGUACGC
Molecule: ribosomal RNA, 400 nt
Filed under: phytoplankton environmental sample
Lineage: Eukaryota
Description: partial small subunit ribosomal RNA
Rfam family: Eukaryotic small subunit ribosomal RNA
Source: RNAcentral